RNAcentral lists this ribosomal RNA (253 nucleotides) under uncultured bacterium. RNAcentral's name for it is "partial 16S ribosomal RNA". It matches the Rfam family "Bacterial small subunit ribosomal RNA", at positions 524 to 776 of the family's 1533-position model. The record is from RNAcentral.
GACGAAGGUGGCGAGCGUUGUUCGGAAUCACUGGGCGUAAAGGGCGCGUAGGCGGGAUGGCAAGUCAGUCGUGAAAUCUCUCGGCUCAACCGAGAAACGUCGGCUGAUACUGCCGUUCUUGAGGGAUGCAGAGGAGACUGGAAUUCCCGGUGUAGCGGUGAAAUGUGUAGAGAUCGGGAGGAACACCGGUGGCGAAGGCGGGUCUCUGGGCAUCUCCUGACGCUGAGGCGCGAAAGCGUGGGGAGCAAACGGG